GUUUGUGUGGGUGGUAUUCAGCACCAAGGACAGAUGUACCUGUGUGUGAAUGUUGUUCAGCACCAGGGAUAGAUGUGUUUGCUU
RNAcentral lists this microRNA precursor (84 nucleotides) under Branchiostoma floridae (Florida lancelet). RNAcentral's name for it is "mir-2060 microRNA precursor family". It matches the Rfam family "mir-2060 microRNA precursor family". Lineage: Eukaryota; Metazoa; Chordata; Leptocardii; Amphioxiformes; Branchiostomatidae. The record is from Rfam by way of RNAcentral.